Molecule: ribosomal RNA, 253 nt
Filed under: uncultured prokaryote
Description: partial 16S ribosomal RNA
Rfam family: Bacterial small subunit ribosomal RNA
Source: RNAcentral
ACGGAGGGUGCAAACGUUGCUCGGAAUCAUUGGGCGUAAAGCGCACGUAGGCGGACCGCUAAGUCGGAUGUGGAAGCCCUCGGCUUAACCGAGGAAGUGCAUUCGAAACUGACGGUCUUGGGUAUGGAAGAGGGUCGCGGAAUUCCCGGUGUAGAGGUGAAAUUCGUAGAUAUCGGGAGGAACACCAGUGGCGAAGGCGGCGACCUGGGCCAAUACUGACGCUGAGGUGCGAAAGCGUGGGGAGCAAACAGGA